This is a non-coding RNA of Camellia sinensis, 1371 nucleotides long. Lineage: Eukaryota; Viridiplantae; Streptophyta; Magnoliopsida; Ericales; Theaceae. The record is from RefSeq and is a predicted model, not a curated record.
UUUUGACUCUAGAUAAAUUGUUCCCAAUAAUUGCAAAUGUUGCUUGAACCUCUCAAUCGGCUGAAGCUAGCAGAUGCUCGUCUUAAUAUGACCCAAGGAGUGCUCGAAGGUGAUAUGGUAGGUGGUUGGAGAAGAGCUUGGGGUUCUCCCUGGCAUGGAUUCUAUAUUUUCAGCCUUAGCACUUCAGAGGCAUGUAGGAUUCUCUGGGAAUGUUGCUCAAAGAAACCAGUAGGAAGAUAAAUUUGAUGUAAUUGUAUAUGAUGGUAUUAGUACUGAAGAAACUAUACAGAUGAUUGGCGCAACUAGCAAAGCAAGAUUGUACUUGAAGUAUUUUCAGAACUUGGCUGAAAAGACUGACCUUGGGAGGUUGGCUUGUUCGUCUCUCUUGAGAUUUGGAAAUGAAGCUAUUAGUUCAAGCACUAGAGGGUCCCAGCUCAAUGGGAAAAUGAGUGCAAAACUAUGGGACGAUCUAGAACAAACUCUGGAGGUAUUUUGAUACCCAUUUCAUGUUGUUAUCCUCUGUUAAUGCAAGUCAAUUUUAGAUUUGGAUUGGUUAUGUUAUGUGCACUGUAGAAAGGAUCUUCUGUCUUUUCGGAACCAAGUAUAUUUGGCUGCUACUUUGUGAUGGACCCAAACAGCCCAACUUCCGUGAACUCUGUCUGUAUGCAUAGCCCAACUAAGCAUUAGCAUUUCAUUAGCUUUCUUUUUCCCUUACUUUACUUUGUAAAUGAGGAGGUCCUUUAAAAUUACAGUGUCUAUUGUUACAUUUUUUUGUUGUGCUUAAGAGGGGGCUUUAUAUACUUUCUUUAAUUGAAAAUAUACUUGUCUCAUUUUAUAGUCACAUGGAUAUAUAGACAUUAUGGAUUUUCAUGAAAACUAGUUUCAGGUUUUUUUUUUAUUCUGUUUUUGUAGGAAAACUUCUCCACUAAUUGGACUAUUUAAUUUUGUUCAUUUUUCUGCAUGUUGUGUGGUUUGAAAAUUUAAUAAAGUCUAGAAUUAGGUGAGGCUAAGGAUUAUAAUUUCUUUAUCAAUUGAAGAAUAAGUUCAUUUAUGGAAAAUAUGCCAAUGUGUGUCCCAUGUACACUAGAGAUUCACAAAAAGAAAAUUUAAAAGCAAUUAGCUCUUAUAAUUGAAGCCAUGUUUAUAUUAUUAAGAACUUAGACUAUUGUUAAGAACUUGUAAUAAAAUUGUAGCAGUAGCAGGAUGCUUACAUAUGCUUCAUGUGCACUAAUCACACCAAUUUUCAAUUCCAUGACAGUUUACUUUAUGACAUCUGAGAUUGAGUAAUAGUUUUUGUGUUUAGUCUUGACAUUGGAUGAGAACAAUUUCCUUUAAAUUUCCAUUGUCAAUCUACACCUUUUGUAUGAUAUU